UCGUUAUUUAUUAACAUAAUUUCCAUUAUUACAAGGUAGAAGCAAUAUUAAUGCAUAAAUUACAAUCUAGAUACAUAAACAAAUAUACACAUGGUUUCAUAUUAUGCAUUUUCAGCAGCGGGAUCAAGUUGAUAGAGUGCAGAUUCUGAAACACGUUUCUUGUACUUGGCAAUGAAAGCUUCAGCUUUCAUGUCAAUAUUGGGCUCAGCAACACCCCAGUUACCUUUGUCGUAAUCACUAGGAUAGACUCUGCGCCACGAAUCAGGGGCAUCAGAGUACCCUCCUCUGGGCUUCCUUGAUGAGAAGAUGUUGAAAAUAGAGAAGAAACCCGAAGAAGAUUUCCUUUGCCUAUUACCAGCUGCCAUGGUUUUGGUGCUUUUUUUGGCUAACAAUGACUGAAUCAGUCACUGUGAAGACAAAGAACUUGGAGUGGAUUGUGUUGGUUUUCAAUUCAAAGGUAAUAUGAUUAAUUUAUAGUCUAGGGAGGCUUCAAAUGCA
This 498-nucleotide long non-coding RNA is filed under the name Glycine max (soybean). RNAcentral describes it as "long non-coding RNA (GMAX_LNC004578)". Lineage: Eukaryota; Viridiplantae; Streptophyta; Magnoliopsida; Fabales; Fabaceae. The record is from RNAcentral.